Molecule: ribosomal RNA, 393 nt
Filed under: uncultured bacterium
Lineage: Bacteria
Description: partial 16S ribosomal RNA
Rfam family: Bacterial small subunit ribosomal RNA
Source: RNAcentral
AUACGGAGGAUGCGAGCGUUAUCCGGAUUUAUUGGGUUUAAAGGGAGCGUAGGCGGACGCUUAAGUCAGUUGUGAAAGUUUGCGGCUCAACCGUAAAAUUGCAGUUGAUACUGGGUGUCUUGAGUACAGUAGAGGUGGGCGGAAUUCGUGGUGUAGCGGUGAAAUGCUUAGAUAUCACGAAGAACUCCGAUUGCGAAGGCAGCUCACUGGACUGCAACUGACACUGAUGCUCGAAAGUGUGGGUAUCAAACAGGAUUAGAUACCCUGGUAGUCCACACAGUAAACGAUGAAUACUCGCUGUUUGCGAUAUACAGUAAGCGGCCAAGCGAAAGCAUUAAGUAUUCCACCUGGGGAGUACGCCGGCAACGGUGAAACUCAAAUGAAUUGGCGGGG